RNAcentral lists this long non-coding RNA (1543 nucleotides) under Felis catus (domestic cat). RNAcentral's name for it is "lncRNA (ENSFCAG00000052274.1)". The record is from RNAcentral. Lineage: Eukaryota; Metazoa; Chordata; Mammalia; Carnivora; Felidae.
CCAUGUUCAAACAGGACAACCCUUAGUAGUAGCUAAGAAUUAGAGUGUUUGACUCUAAUUCUGUAAAUAUUUGUGCAAAAAUCAUAUACAAAUGUGUAUGUGUAUGUAGAAUAUAACAUCGAUUUACCUCGGCACUUUGAGGAGUUUUUGGGCUUAAGGAAGAGCUCACCUUCUUCCAGAUCUGUUUCUUCAGGAAUGAGGAAAUGAUGGAAGCCCACAGGAAAUGUGUAGGGUUUAAGAGCUCGGGGGAGAAUCUAGGGGAAAGGAAGGGACUUGAUAGAGUUGUCAAAAAAUAAUUUCUCCAUUUUUCACCUCAGUUAAUCUACUCCUCUUGCACUUCAACACCCUCAGAACAUUUUUUUUCUCUGUUAUCCUCAAAUAUGGUUGUGUCCCUAGUAAUUAUUGAGGGAAGCUUUUCCCAGCAGCAACUCCUAGGUAAUCCACUGGUCUUGCAAUGGUGAGUUAAAGGAAGAAGUCAGGAGAUUGCCCUCAGUUGGUUAGGCUUAGUUUGCCAUGAUGUUACUUUUUGUUGAGGCAAAUGAGGUGGUGAGAGAUUUUUUAAAAUGUUUUCCCAGAUAUUGUAUGAUUUCAAUCAUAUAUGGAAUUUGAGAAAUUACGUAACAGAUGAACAUAGAGGAAGGGAAGGAAAAAUAAGAUAAAAACAGAGAGGGAGGCAAACCAUAAGAGACUCUUAAAUACAGAGAACAAACUGAGGGUUGAUGGGAGUAGGGGGUGGGUUAAAUGGGUGAGAGGCAUUAAGAAGGGCACUUUUUGGGAUGAGCACUGGAUGUCGUGUAAGAGAUGAAUCACUGGGUUCUACUCCUGAAGCCAAGAAUACACUGGAUGGUAACGAACUUGAGAACUAAAAAAAGUGUUUUCCCUAGUCUUGAAAUGUAUAUAAGGACAUCAUAGAUGCAAAUAGAGACACUGGAUUGCCAUAGUUCUUGUCCUUUCUUUACAAUACAAGGACACUCUUGCAAGGAGAGGAGAGUGCUGUCACCUACUGAACUGCUUCACAAGGAGAAGGCAGAAAAAAAAAAAGUUGUAGAAACAGUUUCUCAUCUGGAUCACUGUAAGAUACAGAGGAUUUACUGGCUGGUACUGGAAUGGUUCAAGAGGGUUUUUUGUUUAACUGAUCAGAGCCUUAAAGCAGAAGAAGAAGGAGAAGGAGAAGGAGGAGGAGGAGGAGGAGGAGGAGAAGGAGAAGGAGAAGGAGAAGAAGAAGAAGAAGAAGGAGGAGGAGGAGAGGAAGAAAGAAGAAGAGGGGGAGAGGGGGGGGAAAUAGGAAUUUCAGUAUAUCUACCUUACUCCAUUUGUUCCAUUUUGCUUCAAAUAGGUUUUAUGAUGAGUUGGCAUUUUAAAAUAAAUAUCCUAUUAGUCUGAUGAGAGGAGGAGAACACACUGACAUGUGAUUUGAAGAAAAAUUUAGGUUUGAAUGGAAAAUAAGUUUCGAUGAUAUUAUAGUAACUGCCUUAUUCUUCGAACAUUAUUUUCUGAGAACAAAGAAAAUAAAUAUAACCUUUCUUUCCUCCUUCCUUUCUUG